Molecule: transfer RNA, 85 nt
Filed under: Candidatus Campbellbacteria bacterium CG10_big_fil_rev_8_21_14_0_10_35_52
Lineage: Bacteria; Candidatus Campbelliibacteriota
Description: tRNA-Ser
Rfam family: tRNA
About the family: Transfer RNA (tRNA) molecules are approximately 80 nucleotides in length. Their secondary structure includes four short double-helical elements and three loops (D, anti-codon, and T loops).
Source: RNAcentral
GGAGGGUUCGCAUAGAGGUCUAGUGCGCUCGCUUGGAAAGCGAGUAGGGGGAAACCCCUCAUGAGUUCGAAUCUCAUACCCUCCG